This 3074-nucleotide long non-coding RNA is filed under the name Anneissia japonica. Its description in RNAcentral is "uncharacterized LOC117124170". Lineage: Eukaryota; Metazoa; Echinodermata; Crinoidea; Comatulida; Comatulidae. The record is from RNAcentral.
UGAAUUUUUUUCAAUUUAAUUUGUAAUAUACAAUAAUACAGUACUGCUGACAGACGGAAGUAAUCUAAUCUAACUGUUUGGUUGACACUCAAUGCACUUUCAUAUGCUGAAUACCUGUUGUAUACUGCUGCUUUUAACCACCAAUGUACCUUAACAAUGCUGAGUGAAACCCCUUAAAAUGCCAGUCAACAACACAUUUUUCCCAAAAUCCAUAUAAUACUACAAUAACUACUAUUCCAAAAUAACUACUGUUAUUUAGACAUAAACAAUAAUAACCAAUUAACCUGACUACUGUUACUGUAAAACUAUAACAUUGCUGUUUAUUACCUCACAUUUUAACUUGACAGUGUCAAUUAACAUUGCUGUUAUCACUAUUAAAUGUUACUUGUUUUCAUGAACAUAUUUUUCUAUCUGUUCUGAAAACUGUUCUGAAAAAAUCAAUUAAAACAUUGAAUUUCUCAUUAAAAAGCAUCAGAUAAGUUAUCAAAAUUCCAAAGAGACACUGAAAGGCUAUUUUUUGCCGAUUUGCCACAAAACCCUUAAAAUAUCUGCCAGUCAAUACAACAGUAUAUGUAAAGAAUAUAGAUACUGUAUUUGUGUCUGGUAAUUACCAGAAAGACAAAUUCUUAUUCAAUUUUUUAAUUAAAAACAAAUACAUUAAUAUAAUGUACAGCAAUUAAAAUAUAGAAUUUUUUGUUUAGUAGCCACUGUAACACCAGUGGUGUUUUUAGGAUUCUUGAGAUAGGAGAGGGGGAAUGGGUUCAAAGUGGGGGAUCAAUGAUUAUGUGAGGGAUCAAUGAUUGAGGGAGGCACUACUUGAGCAUAAAUUGUUGAAGGGUGGGAGAGUACAAGUUUUUUUUGGAGGGGGGAGGGUUGUGCGAUCCUUGAGCAAUCCUAGACUCAAGGCUAACAUAGCCCUGUACACACACUGCAUCAGCACCCAAUGCAAUAUCGCAAGACAACAUGCAACAAUGUGUCAGAUGGUUUUCAAAUCUCCUAAAACUACCACUAAUUUCAGCAAAAUAGUGUUACUUUGGCAAAUGCAGCAGAUGCUAUACACCACAUCAAAGUUUGAAUUUGCCAAUUAUUGGCACAUCACACAAAUGGUGGUCAAUACUUAACACUGGUAAACAUCUUCACUUCGGCAAGAACCUCGCAAAUAUUUCCUUGAAAAUAUCAGUCAAACCUAAAGUUAAUGUGUCACUUGUACCAAGUUAUUGCUGUGUUAAUAGUGAGUAUUAACAACAGCAUUGAUUUGACUUAAAUUUAGGUGAGACAUUUUUUAUUCCUUGUUUCGCGUACUUAUUUUUAAAAAAUAUUAUCGGAGGAGGGCGGAAUAGAAAUAAAAAUAAAAUUUGGUUUUCUAAUUUAACAAAUAGUUUUGGCAAAAUAAUCCAGAUGGAGGAGAAAAUAAAAACAAAAUUUUAUUGGUGAAUGUAAAAUAGGAUGUUUAAAUACUUCAAAUUUAUAAUAAUUAGGAAGAAAUAUACAUAUCUUUGGAGAUUUUAAGGCAGUGGAUGGCGUAAUAAAAAUAAAGUGUGCUAAUUGGCCAAAAAUAAAAUUUUAUUUUUAUUUGAAAUCAUCAAUAUUUGCAGUCGGCGGGUUCGCUAAACAAGGUAUAAAGAAUGUCUCGCCUUAUGAACUGCAAGGGGUAAUGCUAUUAACAAUAAUACAUUAUUGCAGAGUACAGCAUGAUUAUCACAAGUGUAUGUAUGCAGCAUUUAUAGUCAACACACAGGUGGCUCAAGGGGGUGGCAAACAGGAUGAUCUCCUCUCCUCCCUAAACCCCCCUCCCCUCAUGCAGCAGAACAAUUUUUUUUAACCAAGUGUGACUCUCCAAUAGGUGACAAAAUUCCCCUUCCCCCAAUAGAUGUAAUAGAACAUUCCCAACCCUUCCCAUUGGACCAUAGGUCCUGUUUAUUGGCACUUGCUCACCCAUCCCUACUGAGAAAAAACAUCCAGGAGUGGUCCUGCAACUCACUAAUUUUUUCCUGAAUGCUAUCAAUUUCGUUUGCAUGAACACAAAAGGAAUGUGUUUAAAAACAACCAACUACAGUUUCCUAAUAAAUCCAUUGUAUAAAUAAAAUGACCAUUAAAAUAAAAUUGACAGCCAUUUGAGUUAUUCCCAUAAGAAAAACCUCAUCACACACAUUUCCCUCUCAAUGAGGAGGAUGUGUAAUAACAUGCAUUCAUUGAUUAAAUAUCAAACAUUGCAUUGUAACUGUUAAAACUUAAAAUACAUAUAUACAGAUAUACUGUGUAAUAUAAAAGACAUUCUAAAACUAUGCUAUUAAUAUUGCAAUUUGAUUCUGGAAGAAUAACUAAUGCUUUAUAUACAUAAAAUCAAUAAAUAAAUAAUAAUCAUUUUAAUAUUGUAAGACAAAAUAAUGUAUCUCAUUAGAAUUUCAACCCAGAACCACUCUGCGACAACCAAGUAUAAGGCCAAGUUGGUAGUAUACAUCCUAGGGAAGUCACACUCCUGGUAUCCAUAAGGCAAAGUUGGUUAUAACCAUGGAGGCCAACCUGGUAAUAAACAUCAACCGUGGAAGGUCAUGAAUUAGUAGUGUUAUACCUUUUUGAGAAGCCAACCCAUGAAAGGACAAUAUUAAUAAUAUAAAACAUUGGAAGGCCACCUAGCUGGUAGUGAAGUGAAGCUUCAUUGGAAGGUCAAUAAUUGGUAGUAUACACCUUUGGGAGGUCUGACUGGUAGCUGACAAGGGUAUGGGUCAUGGUCCCUAAAUAUAAUCAAUAUAAUCCAUGAAGAGUGUCAAGGGGAGAGAUUUUAUGGUUUAUGGUCAUCAACCCCAGGGUCAUGACCCAAGUUUGUGUAGUGAAUAAAAUUGUGAGUGUUGCCAGGUGGCAUCUGGGUCUAAAAAAAUAGAAAAGGUGUAAAUAAGUGUUGCAAUUAACAUAAAAAAAUCAGAGGAUUUACAGGAGAACAUCGCACCAAAAAUUAUUGUUUUAUUUUACAGGGUUUUUUAAAAUAAUUUUAGAUUAUAUUAUAUUAAAUGCAUCAAAUUACAGCCUACUCUCAAUGGCAGUUUGAUCAAAUAUUGAAUUAUCGCCAAAAUCAU